This 290-nucleotide ribosomal RNA is filed under the name uncultured bacterium. RNAcentral's name for it is "partial 16S ribosomal RNA". It matches the Rfam family "Bacterial small subunit ribosomal RNA", at positions 333 to 640 of the family's 1533-position model. The record is from RNAcentral.
GUGAUCCUACGGGGGGCAGCAGUGGGGAAUAUUGCACAAUGGGGGGAACCCUGAUGCAGCGACGCCGCGUGAAGGAAGAAGUAUUUCGGUAUGUAAACUUCUAUCAGCAGGGAAGAAAAUGACGGUACCUGACUAAGAAGCCCCGGCUAACUACGUGCCAGCAGCCGCGGUAAUACGUAGGGGGCAAGCGUUAUCCGGAUUUACUGGGUGUAAAGGGAGCGUAGGCGGCAGUGCAAGUCAGAAGUGAAAGCCCAAGGCUCAACCAUGGGACUGCUUUUGAAACUGUACAG